This is a long non-coding RNA of Stegodyphus dumicola, 601 nucleotides long. The record is from RefSeq and is a predicted model, not a curated record. Lineage: Eukaryota; Metazoa; Arthropoda; Arachnida; Araneae; Eresidae.
GAAUCACACCAUACAGACCUCAUAUCGCUCCUUCGGACUUCUACCUUCCGCCCCCCCUUCAGCUACAUCUUGCUGGAGCUAUCUUCCAUUCUGCGCAGGACGUCCGAAAUGAGGCUGAUUUGUCUUUGGACUCGCGGCCCCCACGUUUCUGGGCCAAAGGCGUUUGGCAGAAAAUCAUAGAUUUGAGUGGUGAUUACUACCCGCACUAAAGGGACUCAAUCUCAAUUUUGUAUCUUAAACUGGACAUCUCCACCGUGAAGAAGCCGCCAAAUGAAGUUAGAAGAAAUACCUAUUUACCUUAAUUUACCCACAAAAGAUUCUCCACCUCGAGACAAGUCUGUCGGAUCCGUGGAAAUGAGGUUAUUGGUUAUGGCGAGGCACACUAAGGCUAUCUACCUAAGGGGGGAUGCCUUUGGAGAAAAAUGCGGAAGUCAACCAUCGCCUGAAUUCGAACCCAGGGAUUAACUUACCAGUAUACACAGCCCUUAACCGCUCAACUACUGAUGGGGGUCAUCUUUCUGUAUUGAAGACAUUUCUGUAAGCAAUGUAAAAGUACUUUGAGUAAGGUGUUUUAGUAAAAUAAAGGGAGUUUUAAUGAAUA